GCAAUGAAAAUAACAAGUCAAGGAUACAUAUGUAGACUGAAUACGGUUUACAGUAAAAAAAGCCAAGCAAGUAGACACUCAUCCUACGAACGAAGCACCCUAUGAGAAAGUUUGUUGGAGCAUGUGACGAAUACAAUACAGCAAUGAACAAAUGCUUUAAAAAAGAGUAUCAUGUACGACUU
This is a long non-coding RNA of Lytechinus variegatus (green sea urchin), 182 nucleotides long. RefSeq lists it as uncharacterized. The record is from RefSeq and is a predicted model, not a curated record. The transcript has 3 exons. NCBI's taxonomy places the organism in Eukaryota, Metazoa, Echinodermata, Echinoidea, Temnopleuroida, Toxopneustidae.